GAUGAACGCUGGCGGCGUGCCUAAUACAUGCAAGUCGAGCGAACAGACGAGGAGCUUGCUCCUCUGACGUUAGCGGCGGACGGGUGAGUAACACGUGGAUAACCUACCUAUAAGACUGGGAUAACUUCGGGAAACCGGAGCUAAUACCGGAUAAUAUAUUGAACCGCAUGGUUCAAUAGUGAAAGACGCUUUUGCUGUCACUUAUAGAUGGAUCCGCGCCGCAUUAGCUAGUUGGUAAGGUAACGGCUUACCAAGGCAACGAUGCGUAGCCGACCUGAGAGGGUGAUCGGCCACACUGGAACUGAGACACGGUCCAGACUCCUACGGGAGGCAGCAGUAGGGAAUCUUGCGCAAUGGGCGAAAGCCUGACGGAGCAACGCCGCGUGAGUGAUGAAGGUCUUCGGAUCGUAAAACUCUUUUAUUGGGGAAGAACAACUGUGUAAGUAACUAUGCACGUCUUGACGGUACCUAAUCAGAAAGCCACGGCUAACUACGUG
This 497-nucleotide ribosomal RNA is filed under the name uncultured bacterium. Its description in RNAcentral is "partial 16S ribosomal RNA". It matches the Rfam family "Bacterial small subunit ribosomal RNA", at positions 28 to 507 of the family's 1533-position model. The record is from RNAcentral.